This 678-nucleotide long non-coding RNA is filed under the name Gallus gallus (chicken). The record is from RNAcentral. Lineage: Eukaryota; Metazoa; Chordata; Aves; Galliformes; Phasianidae.
CGAGCCCGCUCCGCGCGGAGCGCGGCUCCUCUCCCCCGGUCGAAACGGGGAAAGAAAAAAAAACCACCGCAAGUCGCUCCGCGCGCCUGCCGGCGAGAGAGAAGGGAGACGAGGGCGCGGAGCGCAGCUCCGGGGGGGGAGGCGCGUGUGGGGCGCGCGCUCCGGCGCGUCUCUCCCCCCCCGGCGCCGGUCCGCCCCUCGCGGCUCCUCCCGGGUGCAGCUGCCGCCCGGCGCCGGGUUGCCGAGGGAAACCCCGGGCCCCGGGAGGAACGCGAGGUGGUGGCGGCGGACGUCGGGCGCGCCCCCGCGGGCGGACGCUCCCCCGAGGGGCGCCGGGGCCGGCUGGCGGGUGCCGGGUCUCCCCUCGGCGCCCCGUCCCGCCCCGCCGAGCGGGGCGGGCGGGGGAGGCACCCCCGCGGGGCCUUCGGGUCGUUUCCCUCACCCCAGGGCCAGGUACCUAGCGUCCGCGCCUCCGCGCGUCCGGGGGCGGGGAGGAAGGAGCGCGGCGCCGGUCCCGAGCGGGCCGCGUCGCCCCCCCCCCCCCCCCCCCCCGGGGCGGGGGGGCCGGGCGGAGGUUUAAAGACUCGGGCGGCCCGCGGCGCGCGCCGCGAGGUCGGGGGCCGGGGGCGGUCUUCUGCCCGCCGGCGGGACGCCGGGAUGGAAGAGAGGAGUCCGGGC